Molecule: ribosomal RNA, 253 nt
Filed under: uncultured bacterium
Lineage: Bacteria
Description: partial 16S ribosomal RNA
Rfam family: Bacterial small subunit ribosomal RNA
Source: RNAcentral
UACGUAGGGUGCAAGCGUUGUCCGGAAUUAUUGGGCGUAAAGAGCUCGUAGGCGGUUUGUCGCGUCGAAUGUGAAAACCCGGGGCUCAACUCCGGGCCUGCAUUUGAUACGGGCAGACUAGAGUUCGGUAGGGGAGACUGGAAUUCCUGGUGUAGCGGUGAAAUGCGCAGAUAUCAGGAGGAACACCGGUGGCGAAGGCGGGACUCUGGGCCGAUACUGACGCUGAGGAGCGAAAGCGUGGGGAGCGAACAGG